RNAcentral lists this long non-coding RNA (6033 nucleotides) under Sus scrofa (pig). Its description in RNAcentral is "lncRNA (ENSSSCG00040032884.1)". Lineage: Eukaryota; Metazoa; Chordata; Mammalia; Artiodactyla; Suidae. The record is from RNAcentral.
UUUUUAGGGCUGCACCCAUGGCAUAUGGAGGUUCCCAGGCUAGGAGUCUAAUCGGAGCUGCUGCCAGCCUACACCAGAGCCACAGCAAUGUGGGAUCCAAGACGCGUCUGCAGCCUACACCACAGCUCAUGGCAACGCCGGAUCCUUAACCCAUUGAGUGAGGCCAGGGAUCGAACCCACAACCUCAUGGUUCCUAGUCAGAUUCGUUUCUGCUGCACCAUGAUGGGAACUCCAGCAGCAAAUUUAUUUCUGGGAAGCCAUCCUAAGGAAAUAAAAGAUCAGAGAUGGACAACAAAGAUGUUUAAGGAUGGCCAUCACAGCAGUGAUGAAAAAAGCAACAAGCUGAAAAAAGCUAAACCUUCAACACCAAUGCCGUGGUUCCCUAAAUGAUGUCACACCCACGGGACAAAUGAUAACAAAGCCAUUAAAAUAUUUAUGAGAAUUUUUAAAAAGGGUUUGAGAAAACGUUAAACGUUUCCUUUCUUUUUAAAAAAGAAAGAAGGAUAAGCAAUUGAAUAUAGACUGCUCCCCGGAGUAAAGCUGUGAAAAGGAAAAAAUGUGCAAGAAAAGGGCUGGCAGAAAAUCAGUCAAAGAGUUUAGAGGUUGUCCCCAGGAGACAGGAUGCUCUGCUAAUGACUUGUCUUAAAUGAGCAGGUAUGACUUUGAGGGAGGAAAUGAUAGUUCAUCCAUUGACUCCCAGGCCUGCAGGCCCCUCCUGCCCACAAGGGGGCGCCCUGUGCUUUCCCAAGGUGGUGAGAACCUGGCAGACAUGGUUGUCUAUCCCCUGGGGCCUGGGUGCUGGACAGUGGCCAACCUCUGGCUGCUGGUUCUGAUGGACCACAUUCAUGUCUGCAAAGUGCCCUGCCCCAAGCCAUGGAGCAGACUUCCCAUUUCUUGGAUCCUACUUGCUCCCCCAAUUUUGAGGGCAACUGGAAGUAUACACACACCUGUCACAUGACAUAAGAGCCUGGCUGGUUACUCUGCCCAUCAAUUUCCCUGCCCCUGCUUCCUGAAGUCCCACCAGGAGUGAGUCAGCCGUCAGUGAGCUUGUUUUCCUCCUGGCCCCUUUGAGACCCGUCUUUUUUUGCAAGGAGAUGACACUGUCAUUUUUGGUAGUUAAUUUAAAGGAGAGCAUCCCAGGGACCCCCAGCCCAGGAGCAGGUAGUGAGGUGGGGGGCUGAGGACCUGAGGCUAUGCCCUGCACAUCAUGACUCCAGGAUGCAUGGCCUCUGCUCUCUGGUUCGGGUUAUGGGCCCCAGCUGCACCACCUCUGCCUGCCCUGGAGAGCAGCCUGUCCCCGGCCAAGCCCUGGGACAGAGUAAUAAUGAAAACACAGGCACGGGAGUUCCCAUCGUGGCUCAGUGGUUAACGAAUCUGACUAGGAACCAUGAGGUUGCGGGUUCGAUCCCUCGCCUUGAUCAGUGGGUUAAGGAUCUGGCAUUGCCAUGAGCUGUGGUGUAGGUCGGAGACGCAGCUCGGAGCUGGCGUUGCUGUGGCUCUGGUGUAGGCCAGCGGCAACAGCUCCGAUUGGACCCCUAGCCUGGGAAAUUCCAUAUGCCACAGGAGCAGCCCUAGAAAAGGCAAAAAGACUAAAAAAAAAAAAAAGAAAGAAAGAAAGAAAACACAGGCACGAAGAGGUUACUGAGGCUUACUGCCAGCACAUGGUGGAGUCUGGACUAGAACCCAGGUCGCUGACCCAAUUCCAUUCUUUCCAUCGCCCUGCAACAUGCUAGGAUCACACAAAGAUGAGGAAAACAUCCAGCCAGGAUGAUGAGAAACAGAAAAGAGCUGCUACUGUCACCGGCCCUGGCAUGUCGGGUGGCCCUGGGGGCGUCCCUUCCCCUCUCUGCACCUCAGUUUCCCCAUCUCCAGAACGAGGAAGGCACUGACCACUGGGCAGGGUCACUCUCCUCCCCCAGGCCUAUAGGACAGCCUGGCAGCCCUACUCAUGCUCUCCUCUGCCAGGGAGCGCUAGGCCCGCCCCACAGUGUGUCCAGCUGAGAAGCAACGGCUGGAGCCAGGAGGAGCAGGGGAGGAAAUAACGAACAGAUGGGCUCCUUGCCUGCUCUCUGUCCCACCCUGUCUGUGUGCUGUCUUGUGGCCGGGCGGCUGAGGAGGUCCUGGCCGAGAGUCGAGAGGAAAAGGGCUGUGGGUUUGAGAUGCCCUUUCUGUAGAUGAAGACACGGAGGCGGAAGGGCCCAGGACUCUUUGUGUGGACUUGCUGGCCCUUCCUGGAUAGCAAAGAAGGGUUCUGGGGACCCUUUCUAAAGGAGGCAAUGCCCCUUUCCCAGAGCCAGCUCUUUUGAGACCCCCUUCCUCAGGCCCACAGGCCUUUGCCCUCCCUGCUGUCUGUCCUCAAGCCUGGAAUCACCGGGAGUAAACAGGGGCUGUGGUCAGAGACCCUGGUUCUCCCAGGCCCACCUUGGACCUUCCGCUUCUCCAUCUGCCAAGUGCGGGGGCCGCUGAGGAGGAACUGGGACACUAACAUUUCAUGAGCACCUACUAGGUACCAGCCACUUGCCAACCUGUUGCUCCAAAGCUCCUCCAUUUGAUGGGAGAGCAAACUGAGGCUCAGAGAGGCCCAGCCACCUGUACAGGGCCCCACAGCCAUACAGCCAGGACUUGAACCUGAUCUGCUGGCACCACAGCAACACCUCCCACCUCAUGCACAGCCUUUCCUGAAAUGGUUGGGAGAAAGUAAGAGAGCAAGCCUGCUCCUAGGACCACGACCCCACCUCUGACCUCCACUCCCACCCCUGAACCCCUGGCCACCACCACAAUGGUUCAUUCAUUCAACUAACAUUUAUUGAGCGCCCGCUCUGCACCAGGUUCUGUGGAACAUUCCAGGAAUAUGGAAAUAAACAAGACAGAUGUGGAAUACUCUCACAGUCUGGGGCCUUGCAAAGGGGUCAGCCCUGUGUGACCCUUUCACCAAGCAUGGCCCACAGCAGUCACAGACACCCUAGGACAUGCACUUCCUGGCUCCAACUCAAGUCACACUCGCACCUGCAGAAACACUCUUGCACCCACGUCCUCUGGCAGAGUUCACCCGGUCCUCCUAGGAGACAGGCAUGGGGCCAAUGCAGGAUACAAGAAAUGACCUCUAAAAGAUGCCACAGCCCUACAAGAUCAGCACUCUGAACCCUCCUGACAGAUGAGAAAACUGAGGCUGGGGACAGGGGCAGCACGUACCCAAAGUCACAGAAUUAGUAAGCAGUGGGGCCAGGAUCUGAGCUUAAGCCUGCUCAGUGCUGGGACCCACACUGCUUGGCGGCGAUGCUGCUUUAGGGGCCCUCCAAAGACCCCCACUCUCCCACUCUCACGUGGGCACACACGUGGCCCAGGGAGGCAGGCAGGAGAGCUGCCUCAGCCUCUGCAGCCUGGUCCAGGCAGCUGUGGGCUGAGGGCUCCGUGGAGGCCCCAGAGGAAGCAGGCGAUCAGAGGGACAGGUGGGUUGGGCCCUGCCGCCAGCAGGCUGCUGGGAGGGAGGAAGGACGCUGCUAGAGCCCCCCCUGGGUUUCCUCCAGAGCCUCAAGGGCCCCCUUGUCUGAGCACAGGCGUCCUGGCUGCCUCCUCCAGCCCCCUCCCCUUUUCUGGGUUCCUGCCUCAGCCCAGCAGGAGCCCAGAAGGCCCAGCCUCCUCACCACCCCUCCCACCCCGUUCCCAGCCCAAAGCCACCGCAAAAAUGUCAUCCUGAUUCCACAACACUAGGGUUUGUCAAAGUGCAGAGGAACAAUGACGCUUUCACAGUGCCAGGAAAAGGUCUCAGGAAAACCCUGGGGAGGGGGCACGGAGUGGCGGUGUGGAGACAGGGAAAGGGCUGAGAUGGAGGGGAGAAGACAAGGGGAGGCUGAGAGGCAGGGGCCAGAGGCAGAGCUCAGUCAGGAGUCAGGGGCAGGGAGGAGGGGGUGGGCUGAGAGCCAAGAGAGUGAGAAGACAGGGGUGGGGGUGGGGGGGAGGGGUGAUGAGUGACAGGCGAAAGGGGAGAGAAGAGGGGGAAACGAACCAAAAGGGAAGGAGAAAACAGACACAGGAGGGAGGUCCGACACAGCCAAGAAGCCCCUCCAGGACCCAGAGGCCCCUGGCACCCCAUACACCUCCCCACCUCUGUGCCCCCAGGCAGAGCCCCCUCCUGGCCACAGGAACUCCUCUCUCCGAAUCCCACCCCCAAGCCAGGCAAUUGGAAGUGCUCUCAGGCAAAACUUUUUGGAAAGCAAAGACUUUUUAAUCACAUGAGCAGCCACUCCCUAAGUUAUCUGUUUCCUGCUUCUGGCUUUCCUCCAUUAGCAAACCGCACGGAUCAGAGCUCAGGGGUGGGAGGGGAAGGGGGGCCAGUCCAAAGGGGGUGGAAAACAUCCGAAUCAGAGCGAUUGCAAAAGCCCUAGGUUUUCCUCCUCUUCUAUGACUGCAGAGGCAGCAGUGGCCAUUCCCGCUGCCGCCGUAGAGGGUGGACGAGGUGGAUGGAAGCUCUGCAACCACCCGGCCGUUGGCUGAAAGCUGGACACUGACCUCUCUGAAAACCAUUUGUUCUCCAGAGCUGGUGCCCAGGUCCCUGUGCAUCCCUGUUUGGGUGGCCCGUUUGCCUGACAAGCCCUUUCUUCUGACUGUGCCCCUCCCCGCCGCCGCAGACACAACCCUGGUCCAGCCAGGCAGAGUUGCCCUCAAGUACUUUAAUGGCCACUUCAGGCUUGAAGGCUCCCGGGACCUGCAGGACGGAGGCAAAACACUGAAGGCUUUCAGGCCCUUCCACAUCUGGCCCAGCUGAGCUUAUCUUCCUAACUGCUACUCCCUCCUACCAAACUUCUACUCCAACAAUGACCACAAAAUCAUUUCCUGCGAAUGACAGGUCCCCCUCUGCCCGUCCCGCCCCCUUGCCUUUGCGCUUGCUGUUCCCUGCACCCCAAACAUUUCUCCACCCAGUGAAUGCCCCCAGUAGCCAAGGCCAAGCUCCAAGGUUAACCCCUCUGGCCGCCCGCAUCCCAGACAGGGUUAACUCCUCGGGGUGCUCACCACACUCUGAGGCUUGAGCACUAGCUGACAGCCAUCCCAUUGCCUCCCCCGGAGAAGGCCCCGGCUCUCCAAACUCCCAGGGGACUUUGUGGUCUGCACCACUCGCUUGGCUGCGGGUCAUGUCCCGCCCUGACCCAGCCUCUGGCAUGCCAGGGAUGAUCCAGCAUGCCAGAGGUUUCAUCCUGAACUUAAAGGACUUCUGAAUACUGCCGUUUCUUCCGUCUUGUUUCCCAGGAGUCUCUGAGUGUGCUGUGGCCAUGCGGGGUCCUCCACGUCUCCCACUUCCCUCAGAACACCCUGAGUGGGGCUCAGGACACAUCAGAAGCUGGAGGGGAUGGCGGUGGAAGCAGUACCAGUGAUGGGUGAGAUGUGUGGGCUGAGGCCAAGGUCAGGCAGGCAGGAGGUGGCAAGGCUGGAGCUGGUCUGCUCCCAGGACGCCCCUUCCGGGCUGCGCAGAGCACUCUGGAGGGUCACCUCAGGUCCUGAUUUCCCCAGAAUGUCUGGUCCCUGGCUCUGCAUCUGAGACCAUUCCUGGUGAGGCCUGGCCAGACGUGACCUGGCUAGAUGUGGCUGUAAGCAACCUAGCUCCACCUGGCUAGAGGGAGGCUCUGCACCAGUCCUGGGGGCAGGGCUGGGGGCAGGAAGGCGGUGGGUAGAGGUGGUGGCCUCAGCCUAAAGCGAUGCUGUGAGUGUGAGGGUCACAGCCCUGGGAGGAGAGGACAGGGGAACUCAGCUCAAAAUAGCGAUGGGGGAAGGGUGCAGAGGGUGGCCAAGGGCCAGAAGAGAAAUCUGAUCUGCUCUGGCUGAUGAAAUGCUGAAGUCAGCAGUUUGGGGCCACUCUGGCAGGAGCCAAGGCUGGGGCUCCCACGGCUGCCUGGUGAGAGGCUGCAGGCCCGACUUGCAGCCUCUGCUCUGUGCUCACAUCAAUCGCUCCUUUCUCUGGCCCUCCAUCUGCUCAUCUGGCCACUGAGGGGUAGUGAGAGAAGCAAGCUGUCCACCUCUGAGAACUUUCAUCAGGUGAGU